UGGUGGGUAGUUUGACUGGGGCGGUCUCCUCCUAAAGAGUAACGGAGGAGCACGAAGGUUGGCUAAUCCUGGUCGGACAUCAGGAGGUUAGUGCAAUGGCAUAAGCCAGCUUGACUGCGAGCGUGACGGCGCGAGCAGGUGCGAAAGCAGGUCAUAGUGAUCCGGUGGUUCUGAAUGGAAGGGCCAUCGCUCAACGGAUAAAAGGUACUCCGGGGAUAACAGGCUGAUACCGCCCAAGAGUUCAUAUCGACGGCGGUGUUUGGCACCUCGAUGUCGGCUCAUCACAUCCUGGGGCUGAAGUAGGUCCCAAGGGUAUGGCUGUUCGCCAUUUAAAGUGGUACGCGAGCUGGGUUUAGAACGUCGUGAGACAGUUCGGUCCCUAUCUGCCGUGGGCGCUGGAGAACUGAGGGGGGCUGCUCCUAGUACGAGAGGACCGGAGUGGACGCAUCACUGGUGUUCGGGUUGUCAUGCCAAUGGCACUGCCCGGUAGCUAAAUGCGGAAGAGAUAAGUGCUGAAAGCAUCUAAGCACGAAACUUGCCCCGAGAUGAGUUCUCCCUGAGACUUAAAGUCUCCUGAAGGAACGUUGAAGACGACGACGUUGAUAGGCCGGGUGUGUAAGCGCAGCGAUGCGUUGAGCUAACCGGUACUAAUGAACCGUGAGGCUUAACCUUACAACGCCG
Molecule: ribosomal RNA, 681 nt
Filed under: Salmonella enterica
Lineage: Bacteria; Pseudomonadati; Pseudomonadota; Gammaproteobacteria; Enterobacterales; Enterobacteriaceae
Description: partial 23S ribosomal RNA
Rfam family: Bacterial large subunit ribosomal RNA
Source: RNAcentral